Capra hircus (goat) is the source of this 2057-nucleotide long non-coding RNA. The record is from Ensembl. Lineage: Eukaryota; Metazoa; Chordata; Mammalia; Artiodactyla; Bovidae.
GCCUGUCGCACAGCCGGGGUAUUUCUCUCCUGGGCUCCCCCUUCUCAGAACCCAUGCCAGAUUCUUCUCCUCACCCUUGAACAAUGACUGCACUUAGACAAUGUAUAACGCUUAGAUAAUAUUAGAAUAUUUUAAAAUACCCAUUUUAAAAACAUAAACCCACAUCUUUACUAAGCAUCACCGACUUGAUGGACGUGAGUUUGAGCAAUCUCUGGGAGUCGCUGAUGGACAGGGAGGCCUGGCAUGCUGCAGUCCUUGGGGUAGCCAAGAGUCGGACACGACUGAGCGACUGAACUGGUCUUUAAGAAGCACAGGAGGACAUGACUUCCGUGUACCGUGGUCAUCGGGCUCCCCGGGGGGCUCAGUGGUAAAGAACCUGCCUGCGAGUGCAGGAAGGGCAGCAGACACAGGUUUGGUCCCGGGAUUGGGAAGAUCCCCUGGAGGAGGAAAUGAAAACCCACUCCUGCAUUCAUGCCUGGAGGAUCCCGUGGAGAGAGGAGCCUGGUGGGCCACAGCCCACGGGGUCGCAGAGUCGGACACGACUGAGCAACUGAACCACACGUGUGCAGCCCCUCCCAGGGAGCACUGCUGGGGAGAAGACGUGAAGGCACCGCCACUCGGGGAGGCCAGGUCGAAGGGGAGAGGAGAAUGCCCGGGGAGAGGAGGUGUCCCUGGGGAGGCGUCCUUCCCUCCCAGGUGGGUGGGGGCAGACCCAGGAUGACAGGCGGAGUGAAUGGCGAGAGCCAGAGAAACAGACCCCACGUCAGAGUCCACACGCGCCUGCCCAGAAGACACACGCGCAGGCGCACCGCUGCGGCAGAGGGCAGCGGGCAGCAAGACGGGGAAGGCUGAGGCUAACCCUCGAUCGUCUCUGGGGAGUGUGGCUGGGGACAGCAGGGUGUGUGAGCCAGCCUAAGGCUGAAUAGGAACCUUGGAUGGUGAGGAUUCCCAGGGAAAGGGGGAGAAAGACCCAGAAGAGCGGAGGAGCGCUGGGUCUGGAGUAACCCUGGGCCUGGAGUAACCCUGGGCCUGGAGUAACCCUGGGCCUGGAGUAACCCUGGAGGGGGCAGCUGGCUGGCUGCGGCUUUCCCGGGGCUGUGCUGUGCCCGCCUCCCCUGCACCCCUGGCCAUCUGUGUGACCCGGGACAGGCCAGGGCCAUCUGCAUCCACAGCAGCAUCUCACUCCCCCGGGGUCUGGACACAUUGCCGUGGUGGGGACCACAGUAAGGCCCGUCACAGGACCAUCAGGUUUUCUGGCUUAAACUGGCCACAGGGCCUGGGUACUUCCAGCCUAAAGCCUCUGUGCCCUUGUGGGUUCUUGGGCCUCUGAUGGCGGCCCUGGGCUGAUGCUGGGUGUAUCAGAUUCUGAUACUGGCAGCCUGAGGCCUGCCCCAGAGCAGCCCCAUGUGCGAGUGGGCUGAGGCUAGAGAUGAGGCUGGAAAUGAGGGAAAGGCGUGUUUGCAGGACCUGCGGGGUGCUGGGAAGCAGCUUAUGACUGUUGAGGGAGGGCAAGGCUACCCUCUGGGAACCAGCACAGGCUCUGCACCCCCAGGGGGUCCAAUCAGCCAGUGGUCCUCACCCCUUUCAUGCCACGAGUCUGCAGCCUCGCAUCGUAAAGAAACAGACCCUUAAUUUCCAAUCAGACGGCCGCCGGUGCGGGCAAGGAAGACGCGGUCAGUCGACCUUCAUUUUGGUUAGUUUCGCUGACAGCUGUGUCGCUCACUUUGUUGUAAACCUGGCAGCUCCAGGGUCUGCCUCUGAUGGGAGCAGAGGCUUUGGUUUCUUCUUUGAGCCUCUGCAGCUCCUGGAGUCCUGACUGAGCGAGCAGAGCAUCCUUAAAUCAGAGGAAAUGGGGUCGGCGGGGAGGCAUGAAGGACGAUUCCACAGCUUUCCCUUUUAAACACCUGGCAUCACUGGUCCAUACUGGGGGCCAGCCCCGCAGGGGCCCAUGGGGUGCCGCUCCCCCGACCCACCCACCCUGGGGGGGAGAGGACUGGCCUCACUCCUCGCUUUCUUCUUGAUGACAGACCUCAGAGAAUUUCUGGAGCAGAGGAAAA